Molecule: ribosomal RNA, 588 nt
Filed under: uncultured bacterium
Lineage: Bacteria
Description: bacterial SSU rRNA
Rfam family: Bacterial small subunit ribosomal RNA
Source: RNAcentral
CCUACGGGAGGCAGCAGUAGGGAAUCUUCCACAAUGGGCGAAAGCCUGAUGGAGCAACGCCGCGUGAGUGAUGAAGGCCUUCGGGUUGUAAAACUCUGUCAUUCGGGACGAACCAGAGUCUGAGGAAAUGCAGACUCUCUGACGGUACCGGAGGAGGAAGCCCCGGCUAACUACGUGCCAGCAGCCGCGGUAAUACGUAGGGGGCAAGCGUUGUCCGGAUUCACUGGGCGUAAAGCGCGCGCAGGCGGUGAUGUAAGUCUGAGGUGAAAACCCGAAGCUCAACUUCGGGACUGCCUUGGAUACUGCGUCACUUGAGGAUAGGAGAGGCAAGGGGAAUUCCACGUGUAGCGGUGAAAUGCGUAGAGAUGUGGAGGAACACCUGUGGCGAAGGCGCCUUGCUGGCCUAUUUCUGACGCUGAGGCGCGAAAGCGUGGGGAGCAAACAGGAUUAGAUACCCUGGUAGUCCACGCUGUAAACGAUGAGUGCUAGGUGUAGGUGGGCUCAUACCCAUCUGUGCCGAAGCUAACGCAUUAAGCACUCCGCCCUGGGGAGUACGGUCGCAAGACUGAAACUCAAAGGAAUUGACGG